CGCCUGGGGAGUGCGGCCGCAAGGUUAAAACUCAAAUGAAUUGACGGGGGCCCGCACAAGCGGUGGAGCAUGUGGUUUAAUUCGACGCAACGCGAAGAACCUUACCUGGCCUUGACAUGCAGAGAACUUUCCAGAGAUGGAUUGGUGCCUUCGGGAACUCUGACACAGGUGCUGCAUGGCCGUCGUCAGCUCGUGUCGUGAGAUGUUGGGUUAAGUCCCGUAACGAGCGCAACCCCUAUCCCUAGUUGCUAGCAGUUCGGCUGAGAACUCUAGGGAGACUGCCGGUGACAAACCGGAGGAAGGUGGGGAUGACGUCAGGUCAUCAUGGCCCUUACGGCCAGGGCUACACACGUGCUACAAUGGCGCGCACAGAGGGCUGCAAACCCGCGAGGGGGAGCCAAUCUCACAAAGCGCGUCGUAGUCCGGAUCGCAGUCUGCAACUCGACUGCGUGAAGUCGGAAUCGCUAGUAAUCGUGAAUCAGAAUGUCACGGUGAAUACGUUCCCGGGCCUUGUACACACCGCCCGUCACACCAUGGGAGUGGAUUGCACCAGAAGUGGUUAGUCUAACCUUCGGGAGGACGAUCACCACGGUGUGGUUCAUGACUGGGGUGAAGUCGUAACAAGGUAACCGUA
This 634-nucleotide ribosomal RNA is filed under the name uncultured Marinobacter sp. Its description in RNAcentral is "bacterial SSU rRNA". It matches the Rfam family "Bacterial small subunit ribosomal RNA", at positions 870 to 1504 of the family's 1533-position model. Lineage: Bacteria; Pseudomonadati; Pseudomonadota; Gammaproteobacteria; Pseudomonadales; Marinobacteraceae. The record is from RNAcentral.